This 833-nucleotide ribosomal RNA is filed under the name uncultured bacterium. RNAcentral's name for it is "bacterial SSU rRNA". It matches the Rfam family "Bacterial small subunit ribosomal RNA", at positions 105 to 935 of the family's 1533-position model. The record is from RNAcentral.
GGUGAGUAAUGCCUAGGAAUCUGCCUGGUAGUGGGGGACAACGUUUCGAAAGGAACGCUAAUACCGCAUACGUCCUAAGGGAGAAAGCAGGGGACCUUCGGGCCUUGCGCUAUCAGAUGAGCCUAGGUCGGAUUAGCUUGUUGGUGAGGUAAUGGCUCACCAAGGCGACGAUCCGUAACUGGUCUGAGAGGAUGAUCAGUCACACUGGAACUGAGACACGGUCCAGACUCCUACGGGAGGCAGCAGUGGGGAAUAUUGGACAAUGGGCGAAAGCCUGAUCCAGCCAUGCCGCGUGUGUGAAGAAGGUCUUCGGAUUGUAAAGCACUUUAAGUUGGGAGGAAGGGUUGUAGAUUAAUACUCUGCAAUUUUGACGUUACCGACAGAAUAAGCACCGGCUAACUCUGUGCCAGCAGCCGCGGUAAUACAGAGGGUGCAAGCGUUAAUCGGAAUUACUGGGCGUAAAGCGCGCGUAGGUGGUUUGUUAAGUUGGAUGUGAAAGCCCCGGGCUCAACCUGGGAACUGCAUCCAAAACUGGCAAGCUAGAGUACGGUAGAGGGUGGUGGAAUUUCCUGUGUAGCGGUGAAAUGCGUAGAUAUAGGAAGGAACACCAGUGGCGAANGCGACCACCUGGACUGAUACUGACACUGAGGUGCGAAAGCGUGGGGAGCAAACAGGAUUAGAUACCCUGGUAGUCCACGCCGUAAACGAUGUCAACUAGCCGUUGGAAUCCUUGAGAUUUUAGUGGCGCAGCUNACGCAUUAAGUUGACCGCCUGGGGAGUACGGCCGCAAGGUUAAAACUCAAAUGAAUUGANGGGGCCCGCACAAGCGGUGG